GAUGAACGCUGGCGGCGUGCCUAACACAUGCAAGUCGAACGGAGCUGUUAUUAGGAAGUUUUCGGAUGGAAUAAUAAUAACUUAGUGGCGGACGGGUGAGUAACGCGUGGGUAACCUGCCUCAUACAGGGGGAUAACAGGUGGAAACGGCUGCUAAAACCGCAUGACAUUGCGAUGUCGCAUGACAAUGCAAUGAAAUAUUUAUAGGUAUGAGAUGGGCCCGCGUCUGAUUAGCUAGUUGGUGAGGUAAUGGCCCACCAAGGCGACGAUCAGUAGCCGGCUUGAGAGAGUGACCGGCCACAUUGGGACUGAGACACGGCCCAAACUCCUACGGGAGGCAGCAGUGGGGAAUAUUGCACAAUGGGGGAAACCCUGAUGCAGCGACGCCGCGUGAGUGAAGAAGUAUUUCGGUAUGUAAAGCUCUAUCAGCAGGGAAGAAAAUGACGGUACCUGACUAAGAAGCCCCGGCUAACUACGUGCCAGCAGCCGCAGUAA
RNAcentral lists this ribosomal RNA (494 nucleotides) under uncultured bacterium. Its description in RNAcentral is "partial 16S ribosomal RNA". It matches the Rfam family "Bacterial small subunit ribosomal RNA", at positions 28 to 523 of the family's 1533-position model. The record is from RNAcentral.